AGGGCGCACGGAGGAUGCCUUGGCACUAGGAGUCGAAGAAGGACGCGACAAACGGCGAAACGCCUCGGGGAGCUGUAAGUGAGCAUUGAUCCGGGGGUAUCCGAAUGGGGAAACCCGCUAGUGGUUAUACGCUAGCACCAUAUGGUGAAUACAUAGCCAUAUAGGAGACAGACCCAGGGAACUGAAACAUCUAAGUACCUGGAGGAAAAGAAAGAAAAAUCGAUUCCCGUAGUAGCGGCGAGCGAAGUGGGAAGAGCCCAAACCGGAUUUAUCCGGGGUUGUAGGACCUUCAUAAUUGACAAAUCAUGAUAGCCGAAUGGUCUGGGAAGGCCAACCGUAGGGGGUGAGAGUCCCGUAGGUGAAAUUGUGAGAUGCAUGGAAGGAAUCCUGAGUACGGCGGGACACGUGGAAUCCCGUCGGAAUCAACGAGGACCAUCUCGUAAGGCUAAAUACUACCUAGUGACCGAUAGUGAACCAGUACCGUGAGGGAAAGGUGAAAAGCACCCCGGAAGGGGAGUGAAAUAGAACCUGAAACCGUGUGCCUACAACAAGUCAAAGCCCGUUAAUGGGUGAUGGCGUGCCUUUUGUAGAAUGAACCGGCGAGUUACGAUAUCGUGCGAGGUUAAGCAGAAGAUGCGGAGCCGUAGCGAAAGCGAGUCUGAAUAGGGCGAAGAGUACGAUGUUGUAGACCCGAAACCGUGUGAGCUAGCCAUGAGCAGGCUGAAGGUCAGGUAACACUGACUGGAGGGCCGAACCAGGGCACGUUGAAAAGUGCUUGGAUGACUUGUGGCUAGGGGUGAAAUUCCAAUCGAACACGGAUAUAGCUGGUUCUCUCCGAAAUAGCUUUAGGGCUAGCCUCGAUGUUAAGUCUACUGGAGGUAGAGCACUGAAUGGGUGAUGGCCCCACCUCGGGGUACUGAUCUCAAUCAAACUCCGAAUGCCAGAUAGAUAUAAUCGGGAGUCAGACUGUGGGUGAUAAGGUCCAUGGUCAAAAGGGAAAGAGCCCAGACCGCCAGCUAAGGCCCCCAAGUGUCCGUUAAGUGGAAAAGGAUGUGGAGAUGCACAGACAACUAGGAGGUUGGCUUAGAAGCAGCCAUCCUUUAAAGAGUGCGUAAUAGCUCACUAGUCGAGUGACUCUGCGCCGAAAAUGUACCGGGGCUAAACGGACCGCCGAAGCUGCGGAUUGACUUUAGAGUCAGUGGUAGGAGAGCGUUCUAACAGCGGUGAAGCAGUACCGGAAGGAGCUGUGGAGCGGUUAGAAGUGAGAAUGCCGGUGUGAGUAGCGAAAGAUAGGUGAGAAUCCUAUCCAUCGAAAGCCUAAGGUUUCCAGGGGAAGGCUCGUCCGCCCUGGGUAAGUCGGGACCUAAGGUGAGGCCGAAAGGCGUAGCCGAUGGACAACAGGUUGAUAUUCCUGUACCACUUAUUAAACUGAUGGAGUGACGGAGAAGGCUAAGUUGAGCGUGUGAUUGGAUUCACGUGUAAGCAGUGAGGUGGUCAUGUAGGCAAAUCCGCAUGGCAUAACAUUGAGCUGUGAUGCCGAAGCCGAAUGGCGAAGUCAACUGACGUCACGCUUCCAAGAAAAGCUUCUAGGGUUAAUUUAAUAAGUGCCCGUACCGAUAACCGACACAGGUAGGCGAGGAGAGAAUCCUAAGAUGAGCGAGAGAACUCUUGUUAAGGAACUCGGCAAAAUGACCCCGUAACUUCGGGAGAAGGGGUGCUUGUGAAAGCAAGCCGCAGUGAAUAGGCCCAGGCGACUGUUUAUCAAAAACACAGGUCUCUGCUAAACCGCAAGGUGAUGUAUAGGGGCUGACGCCUGCCCGGUGCUGGAAGGUUAAGAGGAGAGGUUAGCGCAAGCGAAGCUUUGAAUUGAAGCCCCAGUAAACGGCGGCCGUAACUAUAACGGUCCUAAGGUAGCGAAAUUCCUUGUCGGGUAAGUUCCGACCCGCACGAAAGGCGUAACGAUCUGGGCACUGUCUCAACGAGAGACUCGGUGAAAUUAUAGUACCUGUGAAGAUGCAGGUUACCCGCGACAGGACGGAAAGACCCCGUGGAGCUUUACUGUAGCUUGAUAUUGAGCACUGGUGGCACAUGUACAGGAUAGGUAGGAGACGAAGAAACCAGGACGCCAGUCUUGGUGGAGUCGCUGUUGGGAUACUACCCUUGUGUCACUGGGGUUCUAACCCGUGGCCCUUAUCGGGUCAGGGAACAGUGUCAGGUGGGCAGUUUGACUGGGGCGGUCGCCUCCCAAAGAGUAACGGAGGCGCCCAAAGGUUCCCUCAGAAUGGUUGGAAAUCAUUCGAAGAGUG
This 2306-nucleotide ribosomal RNA is filed under the name human gut metagenome. RNAcentral describes it as "bacterial LSU rRNA". It matches the Rfam family "Bacterial large subunit ribosomal RNA", at positions 14 to 2351 of the family's 2925-position model. The record is from RNAcentral.